This 24-nucleotide unclassified non-coding RNA is filed under the name Mus musculus (house mouse). Its description in RNAcentral is "oocyte_clustered_small_RNA1887". Lineage: Eukaryota; Metazoa; Chordata; Mammalia; Rodentia; Muridae. The record is from RNAcentral.
UGGUGCUGGUGGCUACCAUCGUGA